This 253-nucleotide ribosomal RNA is filed under the name uncultured bacterium. RNAcentral's name for it is "partial 16S ribosomal RNA". It matches the Rfam family "Bacterial small subunit ribosomal RNA", at positions 524 to 776 of the family's 1533-position model. The record is from RNAcentral.
UACGAAGGGGGCUAGCGUUGCUCGGAAUCACUGGGCGUAAAGCGCACGUAGGCGGCUUUCUAAGUCAGGGGUGAAAUCCUGGAGCUCAACUCCAGAACUGCCUUUGAUACUGGAAAGCUUGAGUUCGGGAGAGGUGAGUGGAACUGCGAGUGUAGAGGUGAAAUUCGUAGAUAUUCGCAAGAACACCAGUGGCGAAGGCGGCUCACUGGGCUCCACCUGACGCUGAGGCGCGAAAGCGUGGGGAGCGAACCGG